AUCUUCUUAGAAACUUUUAAAAUCUUCUAGAACCUUCUUGAAUCUUCUUCAAUUGUAUGUUUGUAACAAUCAUAUUCUCAAUUAUAUAAUCUAGGGCCUAUAUAACUUAAUAGGCUAGAUUUAAUUAUAUGAAGUUAAAAAUCAAUUUAUUUCUUCCUAAAUUAGCAAAUUUCAUCUAAUUUUUCAACUCUUGCUUGGAUCAAAGAAUGUCUGUUUCAUCCUCAAAUGAAUUAGUAGAGAUUUUUAAAAUUCCAAUCCUUGAAAUUGAAUGAGGAUCUUUGUUAAAUU
Molecule: long non-coding RNA, 288 nt
Filed under: Physcomitrium patens
Lineage: Eukaryota; Viridiplantae; Streptophyta; Bryopsida; Funariales; Funariaceae
Description: long non-coding RNA (PPAT_LNC007176)
Source: RNAcentral